GAAUAUGGCCAUAUCACGUUGAAAGCACCGGUUCUCGUCUGAUCACCGAAGUUAAGCAACAUCGAGCCUAGUUAGUACUUAGAUGGGUGACCGCUUGGGAAACCUAGGUGCUGUAAGCA
Non-coding RNA from Octopus bimaculoides (California two-spot octopus), 119 nucleotides. Lineage: Eukaryota; Metazoa; Mollusca; Cephalopoda; Octopoda; Octopodidae. The record is from Rfam.